AAUUUUGAUAGAGGCGCGGUUAUUAAGAGUAAGUACACUAAGCGAUCCAGCGAUGAGGUGUGCCGAAAGGAAUAAUUGCCGAAGUAAAAGCUGCGGUAUAAGGACUUUUACUGGUUAUGUAUUUAAUAGGUACAUGACUGUCACCCAGACGUUGGGUGGAGCACUAUCUCUUAA
Molecule: non-coding RNA, 174 nt
Filed under: Desulfosporosinus lacus
Lineage: Bacteria; Bacillati; Bacillota; Clostridia; Eubacteriales; Desulfitobacteriaceae
Description: Lysine sequence
Rfam family: Lysine riboswitch aptamer
About the family: Riboswitches are metabolite binding domains within certain messenger RNAs that serve as precision sensors for their corresponding targets. Allosteric rearrangement of mRNA structure is mediated by ligand binding, and this results in modulation of gene expression.
Source: RNAcentral